This 893-nucleotide long non-coding RNA is filed under the name Mytilus galloprovincialis (Mediterranean mussel). Lineage: Eukaryota; Metazoa; Mollusca; Bivalvia; Mytilida; Mytilidae. The record is from RNAcentral.
UGUGCCAAUAGUUACUGCAUGAACGGUGGGACUUGUACGAUGAGUGGUUAUUCUUACAGCUGCCAAUGUUCCACCACUCAUAAUGGCGACCGAUGUCAAAAUCUUAUCGUAAGUUUAUGGUUUUUUUUUUCGAUUCAAACUUUUAUUUAGGAAAGUUUGAUAUUAUUAAAUCAAAAAGAUAUAUUAAUACAUUAAAACAUACGAAAGUCAACUACACGGAAAUGUUGUUUGCAUCUUAGUCAGACAAAGAAUAUUCGAUAAACAAAAACUCAUUCUUAAACAGGUAAAUACUAUGAAAAGCACAUAUUUUAAAACUAUAAUAUCAAAUUGAACAGAACUAGAAAAAUCCAAUUGCACGAUCAUUUCACCAUCUAUUUACAUCUAUAUCUAUGUUUAUAUCACUAAUAUGACCAUCGACAGUCUUCGGAGGUCAGCUCGAUAGGUAAUUAGAAGGCGUCCAUACUAUAAUUAACACGGAACGAUGAUACAUAUUAUUAUGCAUAUGCCUUUUUUUGAAUAUACGAUUUAGUAUGUUAUAAAUAAAAACUUGAAAAUUUGACAACUUAUGCCCCUUUAAUGUGGAACAAUACGAAAAGUACGCAUAUUUUAAAAAAGUCCAAACAGAUUCUCAAAAAGACAAGAGUUUUAGUAUGUAAUAGGGGAGAUCUAAAUCUAAAAUAGAACGAUCAAAUUAAUACGUUCCGGAAAAAAAACAUUUUUAUCAUUUUAGAAUUAUAUUUCUUUACUACGUUUUAAGUUAUUUUUUUCUUAUGUUUUAGGAAGAAGGUUAGGCAAACAAUAUAUGGUAACAGAUCUUAUUUACACGUUGAACUAUGUGAAACCCAUUGGUGACCUUCGGUUGUAAUCAGGUCUUUGGUCGGGUUGCUGUCUCU